CGGACGGGUGAGUAAAGCCUAGGAAUCUGCCUGGUAGUGGGGGAUAACGCUCGGAAACGGACGCUAAUACCGCAUACGUCCUACGGGAGAAAGCAGGGGACCUUCGGGCCUUGCGCUAUCAGAUGAGCCUAUGUCGGAUUAUCUAUUUGGUGAGGUAAUGGCUCACCAAGGCGACGAUCCGUAACUGGUCUGAGAGGAUGAUCAGUCACACUGGAACUGAGACACGGUCCAGACUCCUACGGGAGGCAGCAGUGGGGAAUAUUGGACAAUGGGCGAAAGCCUGAUCCAGCCAUGCCGCGUGUGUGAAGAAGGUCUUCGGAUUGUAAAGCACUUUAAGUUGGGAGGAAGGGCAUUAACCUAAUACGUUAGUGUUUUGACGUUACCGACACAAUAAGCACCGGCUAACUCUGUGCCAGCACCCGCGGUAAUACAGAGGGUGCAAGCGUUAAUCGGAAUUACUGGGCGUAAAGCGCGCGUAGGUGGUUCGUUAAGUUGGAUGUGAAAUCCCCGGGCUCAACCUGGGAACUGCAUUCAAAACUGUCGAGCUAUAGUAUGGUAGAGGGUGGUGGAAUUUCCUGUGUAGCGGUGAAAUGCGUAUAUAUAGGAAGGAACACCAGUGGCGAAGGCGACCACCUGGACUGAUACUGACACUGAGGUGCGAAAGCGUGGGGAGCAAACACGAGUAGAUACCCUGGUAGUCCACGCCGUAUACGAUGUCAACUAGCCGUUG
RNAcentral lists this ribosomal RNA (730 nucleotides) under Pseudomonas fluorescens. Its description in RNAcentral is "bacterial SSU rRNA". It matches the Rfam family "Bacterial small subunit ribosomal RNA", at positions 99 to 825 of the family's 1533-position model. The record is from RNAcentral. Lineage: Bacteria; Pseudomonadati; Pseudomonadota; Gammaproteobacteria; Pseudomonadales; Pseudomonadaceae.